Molecule: long non-coding RNA, 1405 nt
Organism: Peromyscus leucopus (white-footed mouse)
Lineage: Eukaryota; Metazoa; Chordata; Mammalia; Rodentia; Cricetidae
Exons: 4
Source: RefSeq, a predicted model, not a curated record
GGCCUGCCCUGUCUCUCCCCUUCCUAGGGACGGCCUCGCUGUAGUACUGUGGCCCGGAAGAGAUGACCGGAGCUGUCAGGGUGGACAUCUGCUCCUAAGGACGACGGAUCACUGGGGGCCUGGGAGAUGACUGGGUUGACAAAGUGGUUGCUACACAAGCAUGAGGAGGACCCGGGUUCAAAUCCCCAGCCCCCGUGUCAAACACCUGGUUCUUGACUAGGGCCAUGAAAGACUGGGAGGCAUGCCCUUCAGAAAUGAGCAGGUCUUCAGAGGCUCCACUGCCCCGGCUAAGUCCUCUUGAACUAAGGCCUCCGUCCUCAUCACUGCAAGUGGCUCUCCUCUGCCCGUGUCCUGAGUUUUCCCAGGCAUUGAGAGGCCGGCUCGGCAGAGCUGGUAUGUAUGUGCACAUGUGGGGCUGGGUAUAGAGAAAAGGACAGGAAUGCUAUUCUACAAAUUCUACAAAUUCUUCUAUGGCCAAUUCACUGUGACCUCAGCCAACUCCAGCACCUUCUCAGGCCUCGGUUUCCCCUGGUCAUAAAAUAUGGGGUUAAUUGUCCCUUCUAGGGAAGCUGGGAGGGUUAAUUGGGCAAGGGCUCUGAAGAGAAGGAGAUCUAUAAAUACAAGGGAUCAUUAGAGGGUAUUUCACAGCCGUUUUGUGGCCCCGAUGGUAUUAUUAAUAUGAUUAUUGUUAUUGUUAUCACUGCCGUCGCCCACUUCCCGAGUCUCUGCCAGCUGGGUCCUGCUUCCAGGAGAAGGAACUCUGCCAGUGGCCUCUGUGACCCUCCACUCUCCACACUCAAGAGUCUCAGGGGACCCCUUGGGAGGCUAUUCCAGUGUGGCUUCAUGGAGAGAGGCAAGAGGUCCAAGGCACUAUGCUGGGAGUGGGGAGUGAGCCGCCGAGAUGGAGAUGAACAUGGGGCCGGAAGCGGUGGCGAGCAAGUAACUUUGCACAGAACGUUAGAAAUGGGGACAGAGUGACAACUUGGACCGGGAAGAGGUGGAAAGCAGCUGGAGUCAAGAAGGGAACCAGCACUGACACAGCUCGCCUCCAGGCCCAUCAGGGACAAGAUGGCGCCCUGGGUGACAUGGGAAGACCCGACCGGAACCAGCUGAGCACCUUUGCUCUUCAAAUACCACUGCAGACGCCUGGCUCCAUCCUAGGGACUGACUUCCUGGGACAGGACAGGAGCUCAACUUCAGAACCGGUGAGAGGCUUUCCGCUGAGUCUGAAGUAUGCUCAGGAGACCGGAGCUCUAGCUCAGAGGUGGAGCACUUUGCCGAGCAUGCACAAGGCUCUGUGUUUGCCCCCCUGCAUGGCAAAAAUAAACCGUGGCCAGGGAGAAAUCCAGCUCUUUGGAGCCUAGCCUCUUCCCUCACCUGGAAGAGAGGCCAACUUGGAAAAAGA